This 466-nucleotide ribosomal RNA is filed under the name uncultured bacterium. Its description in RNAcentral is "partial 16S ribosomal RNA". It matches the Rfam family "Bacterial small subunit ribosomal RNA", at positions 28 to 507 of the family's 1533-position model. The record is from RNAcentral.
GACGAACGCUGGCGGCGUGCUUAACACAUGCAAGUCGAACGGUAAGGCUCCAGCUUGCUGGGGUACACGAGUGGCGAACGGGUGAGUAACACGUGGGUGACCUGCCCUGCACUUCGGGAUAAGCCUGGGAAACUGGGUCUAAUACCGGAUAGGACCAUGGUGUGGAUACUGUGGUGGAAAGUUUUUUCGGUGUGGGAUGGGCCCGCGGCCUAUCAGCUUGUUGGUGGGGUAAUGGCCUACCAAGGCGGCGACGGGUAGCCGGCCUGAGAGGGUGGACGGCCACAUUGGGACUGAGACACGGCCCAGACUCCUACGGGAGGCAGCAGUGGGGAAUAUUGCACAAUGGGCGGAAGCCUGAUGCAGCGACGCCGCGUGGGGGAUGACGGCCUUCGGGUUGUAAACUCCUUUCACCAUCGACGAAGGGUUUCUGACGGUAGAUGGAGAAGAAGCACCAGCUAACUACGUG